GAUGAACGCUGGCGGCGUGCCUAAUACAUGCAAGUCGAGCGAACAGACGAGGAGCUUGCUCCUUCGACGUUAGCGGCGGACGGGUGAGUAACACGUAGGUAACCUACCUAUAAGACUGGGAUAACUUCGGGAAACCGGAGCUAAUACCGGAUAAUAUUUCGAACCGCAUGGUUCGAUAGUGAAAGAUGGCUUUGCUAUCACUUAUAGAUGGACCUGCGCCGUAUUAGCUAGUUGGUAAGGUAACGGCUUACCAAGGCAACGAUACGUAGCCGACCUGAGAGGGUGAUCGACCACACUGGAACUGAGACACGGUCCAGACGACUACGGGAGGCAGCAGUAGGGAAUCUUCCGCAAUGGGCGAAAGCCUGACGGAGCAACGCCGCGUGAGUGAUGAAGGUCUUCGGAUCGUAAAAAUCUGUUAUUAGGGAAGAACAAACGUGUAAGUAACUGUGCACGUCUUGACGGUACCUAAUCAGAAAGCCACGGCUAACUACGUG
This 497-nucleotide ribosomal RNA is filed under the name uncultured bacterium. Its description in RNAcentral is "partial 16S ribosomal RNA". It matches the Rfam family "Bacterial small subunit ribosomal RNA", at positions 28 to 507 of the family's 1533-position model. The record is from RNAcentral.